This is a non-coding RNA of Mesocricetus auratus (golden hamster), 71 nucleotides long. NCBI's taxonomy places the organism in Eukaryota, Metazoa, Chordata, Mammalia, Rodentia, Cricetidae. The record is from Rfam.
GGAGAAAUGGCUCAGUGGUUAAGAGCACUGGCUGUUCCUCUAGAGGACCUAGGUUCAAUUCCUAGAAUCCA